Molecule: ribosomal RNA, 496 nt
Filed under: uncultured bacterium
Lineage: Bacteria
Description: partial 16S ribosomal RNA
Rfam family: Bacterial small subunit ribosomal RNA
Source: RNAcentral
GAUGAACGCUGGCGGCGUGCCUAAUACAUGCAAGUCGAGCGAACGGACGAGAAGCUUGCUUCUCUGAUGUUAGCGGCGGACGGGUGAGUAACACGUGGAUAACCUACCUAUAAGACUGGGAUAACUUCGGGAAACCGUAGCUAAUACCGGAUAAUAUUUUGAACCGCAUGGUUCAAAAGUGAAAGACGGUCUUGCUGUCACUUAUAGAUGGAUCCGCGCUGCAUUAGCUAGUUGGUAAGGUAACGGCUUACCAAGGCAACGAUGCAUAGCCGACCUGAUAGGGUGAUCGGCCACACUGGAACUGAGACACGGUCCAGACUCCUACGGGAGGCAGCGGUAGGGAAUCUUCCGCAAUGGGCGAAAGCCUGACGGAGCAACGCCGCGUGAGUGAUGAAGGUCUUCGGAUCGUAAAACUCUGUUAUUAGGGAAGAACAUAUGUGUAAGUAACUGUGCACAUCUUGACGGUACCUAAUCAGAAAGCCACGGCUAACUACGU